CUCUUUACUGUAGAAGAAGUUCAAUCUGAAGGAUACUGAAGCAAUAUCUGCUGAAAGGUCACUUUAACGCUAUUCAACUACAGUUUCAGGGAAGAGAAUUGGUCAUCUUAGAGUCCAGAACAUGAUAUACACAAUCUCAGUGAUUCAACUGGACAGACCAUUGAGAUAAGCAAGUUCGGGAGGAUAAGGAAUGGCUGUUGGCUUCACUUCAGCUCUGGUUGUGGGAUGUUCCAAGUGAAGUUCAUCAGCCCUUGACAAGAGAAUGCUAUUUUCUGGGAAAUAUAUAAAGCUGAAGAAAUGCUGCUGUAGUUCUUUUGAGUGCACCGCAAGGAUGUAUUAAGACAUUCAUGAAGAGGAAGUAGUACAUAUUUGGCUGUUAGAGUAAUAAGUGUAUGAUAUUAUUUUCUUCUUUAUGGUGGUUGUUUCUUGAACGCGAAUAUAUGAAACAUCCUCUCGGCAUAAUAUGACUUAAAUGUAUUCUAGUGUUUACGUGUAUAAAUUUUUGUAUUUUUUAUGAAUGAAUCUGUACUCUCUACAACAGCUUAUUAAUAGAAA
Long non-coding RNA from Papaver somniferum (opium poppy), 555 nucleotides. RefSeq lists it as uncharacterized. The transcript has 3 exons. Lineage: Eukaryota; Viridiplantae; Streptophyta; Magnoliopsida; Ranunculales; Papaveraceae. The record is from RefSeq and is a predicted model, not a curated record.